RNAcentral lists this transfer RNA (68 nucleotides) under Psilopogon haemacephalus (coppersmith barbet). RNAcentral describes it as "tRNA-Glu". It matches the Rfam family "tRNA". From Rfam's summary of the family: Transfer RNA (tRNA) molecules are approximately 80 nucleotides in length. Their secondary structure includes four short double-helical elements and three loops (D, anti-codon, and T loops). Lineage: Eukaryota; Metazoa; Chordata; Aves; Piciformes; Megalaimidae. The record is from RNAcentral.
GUUCCUGUAGUUGAAUACAACGGUGGCUUUUCGAGUCAUAGGUCUCGGGUGAGGGCCGAGUAGGAACU